CCUGUUUCAGCACAGGUCGGGAUGUGAACCGGGAGGGUGAGAUCGAAGAUCUCGCAGCCCUCCACGAGAUUUCCAAUCUCGCCGGGGCCUUCGACCCCGCAUGGUUUGAACCACGCA
RNAcentral lists this non-coding RNA (117 nucleotides) under unclassified sequences. RNAcentral describes it as "eL15-Euryarchaeota ribosomal protein leader". It matches the Rfam family "eL15-Euryarchaeota ribosomal protein leader". The record is from RNAcentral.